CGCUUCUCGAUUUUGAUCAGCUGGAUGUCGCCCAGCUCUUCAUCCACCGUCACAUCGUAAGAAUCCACCUGCGAAGGAGAAAAGGCAGCACCCUGAGGGACUUUGUCAGUAAAAUGAGAAGUUGGGUGUCGUCAGAGACCUCUGGGCUCGCAAGCUGUGGCAGCCGCAGGCGCCAGACGCUGUGGUUAGAAAUCAGAAGCCUCCUUCCUGUGCCCUGCGGUCUCGGCCUGGGCCCCGAGGACAAGGAGCCAGGGACAGAUCGUCCUUAAAGAGACAUUGGCUGGAGAAUGGGGAAGUCGCUCCGGGCUGUGCAAGACAGUGUGGAGUAACUCUGCAUCAACAGGAACUUUCUCAAAAACUGAUUUUUUUCAGAGAGCCUUUCCGAGCCAGCUGGUUCCCCUGCAUGGAGCAGCCGCCCUGACUGGCCCUCUCUCAGCCCGAUGGAAAUGUGAAUGCAAAUCGCUCCUGAAAUUUGCUUCUGAGACACUCGCUGAGGUGUUGAAUCACAAGGGCAUUUAAAUGAAUUCUCCGGUCGGUCGGCAGACAGAAGAGAGGGAGGGGGAUAAGGAGCAGAGCAGUGCUUCCUGCCCUCUGCCCACAACCUGUUUGGGUCACACCGCUGUCUUCGGGGAGAAGCCACACUGGGCGCCGGUGUUGCACAGUGAGGACCCUGCUGUGCGCCCUGUGGGAGGACAGGGCCCAGGUGGCCCGCUGAUAAGGGGACGCAGUCCGCAUCCUGUUCUCCUCCCCGCGGUGUGGGGCGCCCAUAAGUAAGAGAAGUAAAGGAAGGUGCUUCAGAAAGGACAGAGGGGGCCAUGGUCUCACACGGAUGACUAGCUAGCCCUCCUGUUCUCAGGGCCAGUUCCCGGGCAGGGCAGCCAGCACCCGGAGGUGGUCCUCACACGCAACACCUGUCUACGUGAAGGGAGCUCGACCCUGGCUAAUCCCGGGUGGGGCAAAAGUAGGUUGACAGUUGUUCGUAUGGGAAAUAAUACAGCCCUGGCCAGUAGCUUGGUGGUUAGAGCGCCAGCCUGCUCAUGGAAGGGUCACGGGUUUGAUUCCCAGUCAAGGGUACAUACCUGGGUUGCAGGUUCAAUCCCCGGUCCCAGGCGGGGUGGGUUCAAGAAGCAACCAAUCCAUGUCUCUCUCUCUCAUGGAUGUUUCUCUCCUUAACCCCUGAGGCCCCCCCUCCCCCCGCUGCCCCCCUCCCUUCCACUUGAUGGGAAAAAUAUCCUCGGGUAAGGAUUAUCAAAAU
This is a long non-coding RNA of Eptesicus fuscus (big brown bat), 1255 nucleotides long. RefSeq lists it as uncharacterized. The transcript has 3 exons. Lineage: Eukaryota; Metazoa; Chordata; Mammalia; Chiroptera; Vespertilionidae. The record is from RefSeq and is a predicted model, not a curated record.